GGUAGUACCUUAAAGGAAAACCCACCUAUUGGCGGUUGAGUUUUACUAGAGGAACUCGCUUCGUAAUCGACAAUCCCCGAUCAUUUUCACUUGCCUUACAUGUUUAUAUACCGCCGUUUCAGAAACAGUAUCAAAUCAAGAUCAACAUCCUCAAAAAAUCAGGUCAAGGUGUAGCUCGGGCAAGAGCAAGUAAGUUACAUUAAAUAAAAUUUAUGGAAGCUAAUAAAGGAAAUUGAAAUAGGAUCUAGAAGUAAAACCCAGAUAAAAACCGGUUUUGCAAACAAACCACUCAACGC
This 296-nucleotide ribosomal RNA is filed under the name Gertschiola macrostyla. Its description in RNAcentral is "partial 12S ribosomal RNA". Lineage: Eukaryota; Metazoa; Arthropoda; Arachnida; Araneae; Pholcidae. The record is from RNAcentral.